GCCGACAUCAAGGGUGCCACCACAAGGAGAAAAAGUGGUUGCGCAAAAGGGCAAAGCCACACGGGGGCGGCUCGCCGUGCGUCGCACUCCAUUGGAUCGACUCGGCAAUGGUCUGCAAACAGCAGCCCCACUCUGGGCAGUCGUUACCGUCGUAUCGACGAAAGGCCUCGAUCCGCGGCACGGCAAACCGCGCAAAGGCCUCACCGAAAGCCGGCCACUGAGCGAUCAACGCACAAAGGCCGUCGACGCGGGCCGUGGUGAUCUCGCGGUCGCGAUAAAGAUCCCAUCUAUCUGUGACAGGUUCUGCUAGUGCCUUUUGCAUGGCCCGCGCGCGAUCGACCAGAUCAGGUUGCGGCGGCGGCCUCUUGUCCGCAGCAAGAGCGUCAACGAGAUCAAUGGCAAAUCGGGCGAGGACCGAGUCCAACGACCAUGUCUCGGUGUCGUCAAACCCGCGCGUGCGUCUUUGGUUUUCCCAGUGUUCAACACACAUGCCAUACUCUUCUUCAUCACGGCAGAGCGUGUAGCGGCCUGGUUCAAACAGAGCCGCAACGGCGGUCGCAUGUUGUUGCGGCGGCGUCGCUCCCAUUGACGCCCGUGGUUGGUAUUUCUCGUCAAUGGCUUGGACCAUGUCACGCCAUUCGCCAUCGAUUCGUGCGCACGGUCGGCGCUCCCCAUCGGGUAGGAUGUGCACACCGGGCCCGACCACCUUGUUCUUGACCCAUUCGGCAUCGUAUGCGUGGCCGUCGCCAUAGGUCACGAUGCCCCGGCCGCGUCUCUUGCCGUUGGCCCACCCACCGCGAUAGCAUGCGCCUCCGGGCCACGCGGCGAUGCCACGGCCAUUUUCCUUAUUUCGCGCCCAUUGGCCUUCGUAAACGUAGGCGCCGUGCGCGGUGUUGAUCACUGCACGCCCAUAGCCAUGACGGCACUUGCGACGAAAGUCGCCCUGGUAGGUGUAGCCGUCGUCGCGGUUGGCAGCGCCCACCGACGAGCGCCUCUGUUUGCGCUUGGCCACAGACAGGGGCAGCCGCGCGCGGUACAACCACUGCCAGUUUUUGCCAAAGGCAGCAAAGUGGACGUGGGGCGGUAGGCCGUGGGCAGAUUGCGCGCACAUGUCCUUCCACAGACCGUCGUCGGCGGCGAGGGCGUGCAGGCGGCGGCACGUCUCGCCAAAGCGCACGACCAGGCAAAGAUCUCGCGUCGCUCGCAACACUGCCAGGACAAGUUCGUCCGGCAGUUUUUGAAAGAGGCCGCCGUCGUCUGUGUCAUCGCACUCGCUGUCGGCCAUCUGUCAGCCGCACCGGCUUCUUGUCUACCGUCCUUUUUUUGGAAAAAAACAACAAAAUGUUUGUUCUUG
RNAcentral lists this long non-coding RNA (1354 nucleotides) under Pandoravirus quercus. Its description in RNAcentral is "hypothetical ncRNA". The record is from RNAcentral.